RNAcentral lists this ribosomal RNA (469 nucleotides) under uncultured Streptococcus sp. RNAcentral's name for it is "bacterial SSU rRNA". It matches the Rfam family "Bacterial small subunit ribosomal RNA", at positions 910 to 1382 of the family's 1533-position model. The record is from RNAcentral. Lineage: Bacteria; Bacillati; Bacillota; Bacilli; Lactobacillales; Streptococcaceae.
UUGACGGGGCCCGCACAAGCGGUGGAGCAUGUGGUUAAUUCGAAGCAACGCGAAGAACCUUACCAGGUCUUGACAUCCCGAUGCUAUUUCUAGAGAUAGAAAGUUACUUCGGUACAUCGGUGACAGGUGGUGCAUGGUUGUCGUCAGCUCGUGUCGUGAGAUGUUGGGUUAAGUCCCGCAACGAGCGCAACCCCUAUUGUUAGUUGCCAUCAUUCAGUUGGGCACUCUAGCGAGACUGCCGGUAAUAAACCGGAGGAAGGUGGGGAUGACGUCAAGUCCUCAUGGCCUUUAUGACCAGGGCUACACACGUACUACAAUGGCCGGUACAAAGGGCAGCGACACAGCGAUGUGAAGCCAAUCCCGAAAAGCCGGUCUCAGUCCGGAUUGGAGUCUGCAACUCGACUCCAUGAAGUUGGAAUCGCUAGUAAUCGCGGAUCAGCACGCCGCGGUGAAUACGUUCCCGGGCCUU